RNAcentral lists this non-coding RNA (88 nucleotides) under Bacillus sp. (in: firmicutes). RNAcentral describes it as "Bacillus sp. c-di-GMP sequence". It matches the Rfam family "c-di-GMP-I riboswitch aptamer". From Rfam's summary of the family: GEMM was predicted in a large-scale screen for bacterial structured RNA regulatory elements. Genes associated with GEMM are involved in a diverse array of functions, including chemotaxis regulation, signal transduction, secretion and chitin. The record is from RNAcentral. Lineage: Bacteria; Bacillati; Bacillota; Bacilli; Caryophanales; Bacillaceae. RNAcentral also lists the same sequence under 1 other name.
AGAGAUUAAAGGCUAAAUCACUGAAAAGUAAUGACGCAAAGCUAUUGGGAACUCUGUCAGAUUUCGACAAGAUCAGCCAGCUGCCAUC